RNAcentral lists this ribosomal RNA (500 nucleotides) under uncultured bacterium. Its description in RNAcentral is "partial 16S ribosomal RNA". It matches the Rfam family "Bacterial small subunit ribosomal RNA", at positions 28 to 507 of the family's 1533-position model. The record is from RNAcentral.
GACGAACGCUGGCGGCGUGCCUAAUACAUGCAAGUCGAGCGGACUGAUUAAGAGCUUGCUCUUAUGACGUUAGCGGCGGACGGGUGAGUAACACGUGGGCAACCUGCCCUGUAGAUCGGGAUAACACCGAGAAAUCGGUGCUAAUACCGGGUAAUAUCUGAGAUCACAUGAUCUUAGGUUAAAAGAUGGCUCCGGCUAUCACUACAGGAUGGGCCCGCGGCGCAUUAGCUAGUUGGUAAGGUAAUGGCUUACCAAGGCGACGAUGCGUAGCCGACCUGAGAGGGUGAUCGGCCACACUGGGACUGAGACACGGCCCAGACUCCUACGGGAGGCAGCAGUAGGGAAUCUUCCGCAAUGGACGAAAGUCUGACGGAGCAACGCCGCGUGAGUGAUGAAGGGUUUCGGCUCGUAAAGCUCUGUUGUUAGGGAAGAAUCAGUACCGAACGAACUAGGUCGGUACCUUGACGGUACCUAACCAGAAAGCCACGGCUAACUACGUG